This 502-nucleotide ribosomal RNA is filed under the name uncultured bacterium. RNAcentral describes it as "partial 16S ribosomal RNA". It matches the Rfam family "Bacterial small subunit ribosomal RNA", at positions 30 to 523 of the family's 1533-position model. The record is from RNAcentral.
AUUGAACGCUGGCGGCAUGCCUUACACAUGCAAGUCGAACGGCAGCAUAGGAGCUUGCUCCUGAUGGCGAGUGGCGAACGGGUGAGUAAUAUAUCGGAACGUGCCCAGUCGUGGGGGAUAACGUAGCGAAAGUUACGCUAAUACCGCAUACGAUCUAAGGAUGAAAGCGGGGGAUCGCAAGACCUCGCGCGCUUGGAGCGGCCGAUAUCAGAUUAGGUAGUUGGUGGGGUAAAGGCUCACCAAGCCAUCGAUCUGUAGCUGGUCUGAGAGGACGACCCGCCACACUGGAACUGAGACACGGUCCAGACUCCUACGGGAGGCAGCAGUGGGGAAUUUUGGACAAUGGACGCAAGUCUGAUCCAGCCAUUCCGCGUGCAGGAUGAAGGCCCUCGGGUUGUAAACUGCUUUUGUACGGAACGAAAAGGUCUCUCUUAAUACGGGGGACUCAUGACGGUACCGUAAGAAUAAGCACCGGCUAACUACGUGCCAGCCACCGCAGUAA